AGAUGGCGACCGGCGCACGGGUGAGUAACACGUAUCCAACCUGCCGAUAACUCGGGGAUAGCCUUUCGAAAGAAAGAUUAAUACCCGAUGGUAUAAUCAGACCGCAUGGUCUUGUUAUUAAAGAAUUUCGGUUAUCGAUGGGGAUGCGUUCCAUUAGGCAGUUGGUGAGGUAACGGCUCACCAAACCUUCGAUGGAUAGGGGUUCUGAGGGGAAGGUCCCCCACAUUGGAACUGAGACACGGUCCAA
This 247-nucleotide ribosomal RNA is filed under the name uncultured bacterium. RNAcentral describes it as "partial 16S ribosomal RNA". It matches the Rfam family "Bacterial small subunit ribosomal RNA", at positions 86 to 334 of the family's 1533-position model. The record is from RNAcentral.